Molecule: ribosomal RNA, 29 nt
Filed under: Entoloma cf. sericeum F14053
Lineage: Eukaryota; Fungi; Basidiomycota; Agaricomycetes; Agaricales; Entolomataceae
Description: partial 18S ribosomal RNA
Source: RNAcentral
CCAUAGGUGNACCUGCGGAAGGAUCAUUA